GACGAACGCUGGCGGCGUGCUUAACACAUGCAAGUCGAACGGAAAGGCCUGCUUUCCCUUGUGGAUUGCGGGUACUCGAGUGGCGAACGGGUGAGUAACACGUGAGUGAUCUGCCCCCAACUUGGGUAUAAGCCUGGGAAACUGGGUCUAAUUCCCGAUAGGACUGCAGGGUGGUGCCUGUGGUGGAAAACGAUUUUCUAGUGGUUGGGGAUGAGCUCGCGGCCUAUCAGCUUGUCGGUGGGGUAAUGGCCUACCAAGGCGGCGACGGGUAGCCGGCCUGAGAGGGUGGACGGCGACAUUGGGACUGAGAUACGGCCCAGACUCCUACGGGAGGCAGCAGUGGGGAAUAUUGCACCAUGGGCGGAAGCCUGAUGCAGCGACGCCGCGUGGGGGAUGACGGCCUUCGGGUUGUAAACUCCUUUCGACCGCGAGGAAGCCACCUGGUUGGAAGGGUGGUGACGGUAGUGGUAGAAGAAGCACCGGCUAACUACGUG
Molecule: ribosomal RNA, 494 nt
Filed under: uncultured bacterium
Lineage: Bacteria
Description: partial 16S ribosomal RNA
Rfam family: Bacterial small subunit ribosomal RNA
Source: RNAcentral